GGCUGUAGCUCAGUGGCAGAGCGCUUGCCUAGCAUGCGUGAGGCACUGGGUUUGAUCCUCAGCACCA
Molecule: transfer RNA, 67 nt
Filed under: Marmota monax (woodchuck)
Lineage: Eukaryota; Metazoa; Chordata; Mammalia; Rodentia; Sciuridae
Description: tRNA.Ala
Rfam family: tRNA
About the family: Transfer RNA (tRNA) molecules are approximately 80 nucleotides in length. Their secondary structure includes four short double-helical elements and three loops (D, anti-codon, and T loops).
Source: RNAcentral